This 301-nucleotide ribosomal RNA is filed under the name uncultured bacterium. RNAcentral describes it as "partial 16S ribosomal RNA". It matches the Rfam family "Bacterial small subunit ribosomal RNA", at positions 509 to 807 of the family's 1533-position model. The record is from RNAcentral.
CAGUAGCCACGGUAACACGAAGGGAGCUAGCGUUGCUCGGAAUGACUGGGCGUAAAGGGCGCGUAGGCGGUUUGUACAGUCAGAUGUGAAAUCCCUGGGCUUAACCUGGGGGCUGCAUUUGAUACGUGCAGGCUUGAGUGUGGAAGAGGGUCGUGGAAUUCCCAGUGUAGAGGUGAAAUUCGUAGAUAUUGGGAAGAACACCGGUGGCGAAGGCGGCGACCUGGUCCAUAACUGACGCUGAGGCGCGAAAGCGUGGGGAGCAAACAGGAUUAGAUACCCCCGUAGUCCCUGUCUCUUAUAC